RNAcentral lists this ribosomal RNA (1580 nucleotides) under Triticum aestivum (bread wheat). RNAcentral's name for it is "partial small subunit ribosomal RNA". The record is from RNAcentral. Lineage: Eukaryota; Viridiplantae; Streptophyta; Magnoliopsida; Poales; Poaceae.
ACCUACCCCAGUAGUGCCCAACACGACGCACCCCACGCUCACACACAACCCACCUCCUCUCCCACCUUCUUCCUCCUACGGUUGCCAGAGCCCCGCAUCGCCCUGCCUUCCUCUGCGCGCCGCCGCGCCGACCACCCAACGCAGCCUCGAUCCGCCGAGCCACCUCCGCCUUGCCCUGAAGCCGCCGCUGCUGCCGCCAGGGCCCCGCCCCACCCCAGAGGCCCUUGAAUCUCCGUGCCAACCGCCGCCCUCCCCGGCAUCCCUCGCCGGAGGAUCGGCCACCCCCAACCUCCCUUGCCGCCAGAUCGGGCCGCCCCGGCCUCCCUUGCGCCGGAUACGGUCGUCCCCGGCCUCCCUCUCCGCCGGAUCGGGCUGCCCCGACCUCUGUUUGCCGUCCCCGCGGCCUACUGAUGUCACCGUGGCCCUCUCCUCCCCAGAUCCAGUGAGCCUCCCAUGGCCCUCUCCUCCCCAUACCCCGCCGCAACUGGCCAGCGGCCUUCCUCCCAUGUCUCGCCGGUGCUACAUCAUACGGCGCGGAUCCGGUUGCACCGCCCCAGGCGCCCUGGCGCAUCCCAUGGCCAUGGCGGGAUCCCCACUGCCGGCGUGCCCCUUCCCACCAGCCGCCCUGAUGGCCGCCUCCCCCGUCCUCUUCUGCUCCAUUGCCAAACACCACCGCAGGUACGAAUGAGGUCAAUCUGCGGCGAGGUUCAGGCAAGUUUUCCCUGUAAUUCCAGCGAGCAGUUCGGCUAGCGCGGCCAUGCGGUUUGGCCAGGCCAUGGCUUCAGUUCAUCGGUGCGCUGCCGCGGGUGGGGUCAUCCUCUCCUACUCCGGCCGAGAUCCAUGGCCACUGAGCCCCCUUCCUUCGCUCCCACGUAUGUGCAACAGUUGAGCACCCACCAACCCCGAUAUGUGUGUCCUCCAUUGCUCUGUCCUCGCCGACAUGCUCGCACGAACAGGGAGUUAGCUUAGUUGUUUAUUGCCGUCCUCUUCUGUUAUUGCCACUGAACCUCCACGAGUAGGAGUUCAGUUAACUCCGUAGUUCUAUUUUUGUUUAACUUGUGCCAUGCAGUUCGCUAUGUAAAAUUGCAGUGAAUUUUUUGUACUUUUAUUUCUGCUCAUGUUACAGAGAUGUUCUAAUUUGUUGCAGAUUUUGGUUGCAAGUGUAAAGAGAAAAAAGUGAUUCAGUGUGGUACAUGAUGAUAUGUAGUUUUAGCACCGCAGUCAGGCAGGCCAUGGAGUGUGCGUCACCGUCCGUGGGCGUGUGCAGUGCGGCGCGUGGGUGCUUGCAGUACGCAACCCGCCUAUUCAACUGAUUUUUUUGAUCUAGCUAGUGUUGAUUUUGUGUGUAUGUAUGUGUGUGGCUGUGUAAAACAAAUGGGUGAAUGUAUUAUCUCCAUGAGCAUCAUCAGCGGCCAUAGACAGUGGCGCAAAACAUAAAGUGUGCAUGUAGUUUGGUUAGCUUGUUCUUGCAGUACUUUGUUUUUGUUUUGUGAGGUUCACUUGUUCUUUAAAUUAUUCAGCGAAUGUUGGUGUGAGGUAAAAUUAUUAUGGUGGAAAAAAAAGUAAUUUUAAAUGCAGUC